Molecule: long non-coding RNA, 444 nt
Organism: Trichomycterus rosablanca
Lineage: Eukaryota; Metazoa; Chordata; Actinopteri; Siluriformes; Trichomycteridae
Exons: 3
Source: RefSeq, a predicted model, not a curated record
ACCAGCACAGACGCACUAACUGACCUACCUGACGUCAGGAGAGAGGGUUGUGGUGGGUCUAAUUCAUUGGACGAAAGGCAGGAAACACCCCAGACAGCCAGUCUCACGGCAUCACAAGGCAACACUUAAUUUGGAUAACUGAAUUUGGUUUCUGUCGAUGACCUAGGCUGAGCAGCAGGCUGUUGGUUUGAUGAAGUUUUUAGGGCUGACUCCCCUGUGUGAUCUGGUUGAAAGCAGACAAGAGACCUUAUUCAAAUUGGGCAGAAGUUUAGCAAAGUGACAGAGAGAGAAAGAGUGAGAGAGUGAGGGAGUAAGAGAGAGAGAGAGAGAGAGUUUUACCACAGAGUGUCGUUAGUUGUAACGGUUUUCCAUUUUUCAUGGCAGUUUAGAUUUAAAUGAGCUCAUUUAAGUGAACAAAGAAUACAUAGUAUCAACCAAACAAUA